This 75-nucleotide transfer RNA is filed under the name Armatimonadota bacterium. Its description in RNAcentral is "Armatimonadetes bacterium (hot springs metagenome) tRNA-Met". It matches the Rfam family "tRNA". Rfam says of the family: Transfer RNA (tRNA) molecules are approximately 80 nucleotides in length. The record is from RNAcentral. Lineage: Bacteria; Bacillati; Armatimonadota.
GGGCGCGUAGCUCAACGGCAGAGCAGCCGGCUCAUAACCGGUCGGUUGGGGGUUCGAAUCCCUCCGCGCCCACUA